This 1698-nucleotide long non-coding RNA is filed under the name Macaca fascicularis (crab-eating macaque). RNAcentral describes it as "lncRNA (ENSMFAG00000053369.1)". Lineage: Eukaryota; Metazoa; Chordata; Mammalia; Primates; Cercopithecidae. The record is from RNAcentral.
AACACAAGUGUUAGAAGAAUGUGUAGAAAUGGAAACCCUACAUAAGCUACACUGACUUCUCCUGCUGCUCAGUGUAAAUCCAAUGUCUAUACUCUAACCCACAAGAGUCUGCAAUUCCUGGUCCCACUACAGCUCCAACUUCAUCUCCAGCCACCCUCUCCUUCCCUCUCUCUGCUGCAGCCCACCAGCCUCUGUGCUGUUCUUCUAACAGGCCAAGCAUGCUUUGACCCCAGGGCUUUGGCACUUGCAGUUUCCUCUGCCUGGAAUGCACACUCCAUUCAUCUGAAUGGCUUGGUCUCUUAUUUCAUUGAGUUCUCUUCUCAGAUGUCACCUUUUUAAGGAGUCUUCAUUAAUCACUCUAGUAACACAGGAUAGAACCUUCCCUCUUUCCUGGUUUUUCUCCAUCACAGUUAUAAUUCUCCAAAACAUUUUAGAUUUUGCUUUGUCUAUCUUCCUCUACUAGAAUGUACAUUCAGUUUUGCUCACUGCAGCAUCCUCCAAGCCUAGAACUGUUCCUUAAAACAGGUGACAUUUGAGCAAAGAACUCAAUGAAAUAAGGUGCUCAGUAAAUGUGAAUAAUGAAGUCCUACUGUUUAUUGAUUAUUAUACAUUGAGUGCUUUAGUUGUACUAUUUCAUUUGAUUCUUAUGACCAUAUGAGUUAGUCAUUAUUAAUUCCAUUAUACUGACGUGGAGACUGAGGCUCAGAAGGGUUAGGCAACUAGUGGAGAUCACACAGCUAAAAAAUGAUUGAUCUGAGACUUGAGCCCAGCCUGGUUGUUUCAAAAUUUCAGACCCUCGCACUACAUUGUACUCUGUCAAUCACCCACAGAGUUCACAGUUCUCACACAGCAGUCAUGCACAUGAACAGCUGAGAUCUCCUGCUGCAGGGAGUGUGGUUAUCAUUCUUCUAGAUCCACCACGACAUUAGUGCUAAGGCCAUGCUUCCCUCAGGCUGCUCUCAGCCAAGGGCUAAGCACAGUUGGUACUAGUUCAGGCCUCUUCUAGUGGCAACUUUGUCUUGAUGCUACCCAUCAGCCUGGCCAACACCUUCUGAGACCUGCACUGGGCCUGAGAUUCUUCCUAUCCCAUUCUCCUUCCUUUGUCCUUUCUCAGGGUCAGACCAGUGUUGAGGUCUGAGGCUGUCCCUGCCUUCUCCUGCCCGCUCCCUCUUUGUCCUUUAUAGAUAUCCUUCCCACAGUGAAGCUCUUGUGCCCCUAAGCCCAGCUUGGCCUCUCCUCCUUGGAUGUCCAGCUCUAAUAUACCUCAUGACACUCAGGAGUCAGCCAGCACAGCACAUGCUAAAGCUGGGCACACACAUUCCCAGGACCCAACAAUUCCAUUUCUAUACAUAUACUCAACUGAAAUGUAGACAUGUUGUUACAAAAGGACAGGACAGGCACAGUGGCUCACACCUGUAAUCUCAGCACUUUGGGAUGCCAAGGCUGGUGGAUUGCUUGAGCUAGGAGUUGAAGACUAGCCUGGGCAACAUGACGAAACCUCAUCUCUACUAAAAAAUACAAAAAUUAUCUGGGCAUGAUGGGGAGUGCCUAUGGUCCCACCUACUCAGGGGACUGAGGUGAGAGGAUCGCUUGAACCUGGGAGGCAGAGGUUGUAGUGAGCCGAGAUCACGCCACUGCACUCCAGCCUGGGUGACAAAGCAAGACCCUGUCUCAAAAAAAAAAAAAAAAAAAAAAAAA